Molecule: RNA transcript, 1519 nt
Organism: Malaya genurostris
Lineage: Eukaryota; Metazoa; Arthropoda; Insecta; Diptera; Culicidae
Gene: Oscillin
Gene name: glucosamine-6-phosphate isomerase
Exons: 5
Source: RefSeq, a predicted model, not a curated record
CUGUCUCGGCACAAUACGGCAGCUGCAGUUCGCGAUAUCGGCGGUUUGUUGUUUCUUUUUCGGAAAACCUUCUGGUCUUGUGGGUGAUCAAUUCUGUUGGAUGUUAUACUAUUGAAAAUAUAUACAAGUGAGAAGAUAGCAUUGCCGUUGCGGAGAAUUAAGUGUAUUUGAAACCAAAACUGUACUGUAGUGAUUGUCAACAUUCAACAUUCGCCACACACCAAAGAGAUAAUAAGCACAGAUUACGUUUGGACUGAUGGCAUACAUUUUGUAGUUGGAACUCUCGAGGACGCAUAGCUUCCCCAUAGAACCAUGCGGUUAAUCAUCCUGGACACUUCCGACUAUGUCGGCGAAUGGUCGGCCAAGUACGUGAUGAAGCGCAUCAAUGAUUUCAAAGCUGGCCCGGACAACUUCUUUACGCUGGGGCUACCGACCGGAUCCACACCACUUGGCCUGUAUCGGAAUCUGAUCAAGUUCCACAAGGAGGGUAAAAUAUCCUUCAAAUACGUGAAAACCUUCAACAUGGACGAGUACGUCGACCUACCGCGGGAUCACCCGGAAAGCUACCACUACUUUAUGUGGCACAAUUUUUUCAAACAUAUCGACAUCGAUCCGGUCAACGUGCACAUUCUGGACGGGAAUGCACCGGACUUGGUGGCGGAGUGCAACGCCUUCGAGGAUAAAAUCAAGGCCGCCGGUGGAAUUGAACUGUUCAUUGGAGGAAUCGGUCCGGACGGGCACAUUGCAUUCAACGAACCGGGAUCGUCGCUAGUUUCGAGGACUCGUGUGAAAACGUUGGCCCAGGACACACUGGAGGCGAAUGCCCGAUUCUUCGGAAACGACAUGAGUAAGGUACCGAAGCAGGCCCUUACCGUGGGUGUUGGCACCGUGAUGGAUGCCCGGGAGGUGAUGAUCCUGAUCACCGGUGCGCACAAAGCUUUCGCCCUGUACAAAGCCAUCGAGGAGGGAGUAAAUCACAUGUGGACCGUCAGUGCCUUCCAGCAGCAUCCGCAUACGAUAAUGAUUUGCGACGAGGAUGCCACACUGGAACUCCGAGUAAAAACGGUCAAAUACUUCAAGGCCCUUAGUAGUGUUCAUCACAAAUUGAUUGAGGAAGAUGCUAGCGACGUACGAAUGCUCAAAUGAACGCCCAUCGUUUCAAACAUCCUACACAAUCUACUUAUAAAAGCUAUACAUUCCUCAAUAUUGGCCCUACUUUUUACCCAAUCAAGUGCAAAUGGAUUCGAAAUUGGUCUUCCAGGGAUAAUUUAGACAAGAAACAUUUUUGUUAUCACCAUAAAAAGCUUCGAGCCCAUCAAACAUCAAACGAGCCUGUACGAUGUUCAUUCGAAGCUGAUUGAAGGUGCGUAAGACUGGCAGCACUGAAACUGAAGAGUUUUCUAUCCAGAGCAAGAAGACAAGUCACUCGAAUCCAAAGGGUAGUUUUAAAUUGUAUGUUUUUUUUCUCUGUACUCCACUAAUCUAUUAUUAAAAUAUACAAAGUUAUUUUUAUUUUUCA